AGUGAACGCUGGCGGUAGGCCUAACACAUGCAAGUCGAACGGCAGCACAGUAAUAGCUUGCUCUUACGGGUGGCGAGUGGCGGACGGGUGAGGAAUACAUCGGAAUCUACUUUUUCGUGGGGGAUAACGUAGGGAAACGUACGCUCAUACCGCAUACGACCUACGGGUGAAAGCAUGGGAUCUUUGGAUCUUGCGGGAUUGAAUGAGCCGAUGUUGGAUUAGCUUGUUGGCGGGGUAACGGCCCACCAAGGCGACGAUCGGUGGCUGGUCUGAGAGGAUGGUCACCGACACUGGAACUUCGACAGGCGCCAGAGUCCUACGGGAGGGAGCAGUGGGGAAUAUUCGACAAUUGGCGCAAGCCUGGUCCAGUCCUACGAAGUAGGUGAAGAAAGCCUUCAGGGUGUAAAGCCCUUUUGUUGGGAAAGAAAAGCAGCAGGCUAAUACCCCGCUGUUCUGACGGUACCCAAAGAAUAAGCACCGGCUAACUUCGUG
RNAcentral lists this ribosomal RNA (492 nucleotides) under uncultured bacterium. Its description in RNAcentral is "partial 16S ribosomal RNA". It matches the Rfam family "Bacterial small subunit ribosomal RNA", at positions 29 to 507 of the family's 1533-position model. The record is from RNAcentral.